RNAcentral lists this ribosomal RNA (293 nucleotides) under uncultured eukaryote. Its description in RNAcentral is "partial 18S ribosomal RNA". It matches the Rfam family "Eukaryotic small subunit ribosomal RNA", at positions 6 to 298 of the family's 1831-position model. The record is from RNAcentral.
GGUUGAUCCUGCCAGUAGUCAUAUGCUUGUCUCAAAGAUUAAGCCAUGCAUGUCUAAGUAUAAGCUUUUAUACGGUGAAACUGCGAAUGGCUCAUUAAAACAGUUAUAGUUUAUUUGAUGGUCUCUUUUACAUGGAUAACCAUGGUAAUUCUAUGGCUAAUACAUGCGCAAUGUCCUCCCUCGCGAGAGGGAGGGCUGUGUUUAUUAGAUACAAAACCAACCCACUUUGUGGAGUCUUGGUGAUUCAUAGUAACCGAACGGAUCGCAAUUGGCUUCGGCCCGCGAUGGAUCUU